CAGUAGCCGCGGUAAUACAGAGGAUGCAAGCGUUAUCCGGAAUGAUUGGGCGUAAAGCGUCUGUAGGUGGCUUUUCAAGUCCACCGUCAAAUCCCAGGGCUCAACCCUGGACAAGCGGUGGAAACUACCAAGAUGGAGUACGGUAGGGGCAGAGGGAAUUUCCGGUGGAGCGGUGAAAUGCGUUGAGAUCGGAAGGAACACCAACGGUGAAAGCACUCUGCUGGGCCGACACUGACACUGAGAGACGAAAGUUAGGGGAGAAAAUGGGAUUAGAUACCCCGUAGUCCCUGUCUCUUAUACA
This 301-nucleotide ribosomal RNA is filed under the name uncultured bacterium. Its description in RNAcentral is "partial 16S ribosomal RNA". It matches the Rfam family "Bacterial small subunit ribosomal RNA", at positions 509 to 809 of the family's 1533-position model. The record is from RNAcentral.